GAAGACGCCCAGACCGCCGCUGGGGCAAGGCCCGAAAGGGUGCCCUGGAGGAAGGUCCGGACUGCAUAGAGCAGCGUAGGGGGUAACACCCCUCCACCGCGAGGUGCGGAUCAGAGCAACAGAGACGAGUUCGGCCGGGGAGAGAAGGCGCGGUGCAAGCUGCCACUUCUCGAAUCCUCGAGUGUUCUGUCGGCCCCGGCGCAAGCCGGGCGCGCCUUGCGCGAGCAGGGCUUCGGGCGCAAGCCCGAAUCCGACAGCACAUCGGAUGGGGCGAGCGCGCAAGCGCUCGGCGCGGCCGAGGUGAAACGGGCAAUCUCUACGCGCAGCAACACCAAGUAGGCCUGUAUUGAGGCGGCUCGCUGAGCAGGCGGGUAGGUGGCAUCGAGCCGGGGUGCGAGCCCCGGCCCAGAGGAAUGGCGGUCACGCCGGGCGAAAGCCCGGUGCACAGAAUCCGGCCCAUCGGGCGUCUUCACGA
Molecule: RNase P RNA, 475 nt
Filed under: Inhella crocodyli
Lineage: Bacteria; Pseudomonadati; Pseudomonadota; Betaproteobacteria; Burkholderiales; Sphaerotilaceae
Description: Bacterial RNase P class A
Rfam family: Bacterial RNase P class A
About the family: Ribonuclease P (RNase P) is a ubiquitous endoribonuclease, found in archaea, bacteria and eukarya as well as chloroplasts and mitochondria.
Source: Rfam by way of RNAcentral